This 245-nucleotide ribosomal RNA is filed under the name uncultured bacterium. RNAcentral describes it as "partial 16S ribosomal RNA". It matches the Rfam family "Bacterial small subunit ribosomal RNA", at positions 111 to 353 of the family's 1533-position model. The record is from RNAcentral.
UAACACGUGAGCAACCUGCCUUUCAGUGGGGGACAACAUUUGGAAACGAAUGCUAAUACCGCAUAAGACCACAGUGUCGCAUGGCACAGGGGUCAAAGGAUUUAUCCGCUGAAAGAUGGGCUCGCGUCCGAUUAGCUAGAUGGUGAGGUAACGGCCCACCAUGGCGACGAUCGGUAGCCGGACUGAGAGGUUGAACGGCCACAUUGGGACUGAGACACGGCCCAGACUCCUACGGAGGCAGCAUG